This is a non-coding RNA of Nerophis lumbriciformis (worm pipefish), 2200 nucleotides long. The record is from RefSeq and is a predicted model, not a curated record. Lineage: Eukaryota; Metazoa; Chordata; Actinopteri; Syngnathiformes; Syngnathidae.
GCGAGUGUUCGUCACUUUUGUCUUUCUCUGCGGGAUUAAAAGUGACACACAUCUUUUUGUUUCGUGCUGACAUCAUGAACUUGUUUUUAUUCUUUCUUCUGGUCGUGCAAAUGCACAGCGUGACGCCUGUGAUUCACACGCUGCAGUAUUUCACCACUGCAUCCUCUCAAGUUCCAAACUUCCCAGAGGUUGUGAUUGUUGGUUAUGUUGAUGGAGUUGAGAUUAGUUACUAUGACAGCAACAUCAGGAAAACAGAAUCCAAACAGGACUGGAUGAACAAAAUCACAGCAGAGGAUCCAAAAUACUGGCAGAGACAAACAGAGAUCAAUGUUGGUAUUGAGUUGAUUGACAAACACAACCUUGAAGUUCUUAAGAAGCGUUUCAACCAAACUGGAGGUGUUCACAUUGUCCAGUGGAUGUCAGGAUGUGAAUGGAAUGAUGAGACUGAUGAGGUUAAAGGUUGGCGUCAGCAAGGUUAUGAUGGAGAAGAUUUCAUAUCGUUGGACAUGAAGACAUGGACAUAUACUGCAGCAAAACCACAAGCUUUCCCUGACAAACUCUACUGGGACCAGAACAUAUUUAUACUAGACGACCAUAAGUAUUAUUUCACUGAGCGUUGUCCUUCUUACUUGAAGAAGUAUGUGAAGAAUGGGAAGAAGGUCCUAAUGAGAACAGAGCUUCCAGAGGUGUUCCUCCUCCAGAAGACGCCAUCCUCUCCAGUCACCUGCAUGGCGACAGGUUUCUACCCCGACUUAGCCGACCUGUUUUGGAGGAAAGACGGCGAGCAGAUCUUCGAGGACGUGGAGCACGGAGAGCUGCUCCCCAACCCCGACGGAACCUUCCAGAUGUCGGUGGAGCUGAAAGUGGAGGUGACGGCCGAGGUGGAGGGCAAGUACGAAUGUGUGUUCCAGCUGUCUGGCGUCAAGGAGGACCUAGUCACCAAGCUGGAGAGAAGAAGCAUCCUGAGCAACGCAAGCCAUGAAGGUGAGAAAGACACAUUUAGUUGGAGAUGUUUCCCAUCACAAGUCCACCUGUCACCAUUAUUGAUCCAUGUCACCAUGACAACGCUUGACGUCUGCAUGCAAAGUAGUCAUGAAGGUUUCCUCUUCAUGCUUUGUCACUCCACUUGUGCUUUUUUGCUCUCCACAGACAACUGGAGCGUCGCCCUCGCUGCCACGGCGGCGGUCGUCGCUGUGGCGGCCGUCCUGGCGGCCAUCAUCAUCGUCAUGGUCAGGCGUCACAGAAACAGACAAGGUGAGGGACACCAAUGUCCUCCGUCUUCUUCUUCUUCUUCUUCUUCUUCUUCUUCUUCUCGGUCCAGGCCGUGAGUUGAUGCUUUCAUCCGGGCUGCAUGUUUUAGUUGCCUUCCAGCCAAACACUCAAAGAUCCACAGAGACAGAGCGCACACUCUCACAUAGAAAGACGUGAGGAAAAAGUCCAUUUCACCUUGUUUCACUUUCAUUUCAGCCCAGUACGAUCCAGCUCGUAAGUAAAACAUCUUUUCUUUGAGCCGCAAGAAACAAAGCCGUGGUGAAGCGUCACUCACAUGGAGGUCUGAUGUGGACCUUUGUUACAAGUUUAGCCUGAAAAUCCCAACUUGAGCUGACUCCUUCACAAUAAAAGACCCUCCUGUGAGCACACGCAAUACAAAGUGUGGCAUAUCUCACGUUUGACAUGAGUCCUCAUGAUGAGGAUCAGCCAAAUGAGACCUCAAGUGUGCUGACUCAUCAAGAAGGUAUCCUAGUCAGGAAGUAGAAGAGCAGCACUCUGCUUCUUCAUGUUUCCAAGUCACACCUCAAAGAUCUGAUGUGAGUGACGAGGCACCUUCUGGAUGUUCUUCCUUCACCGUUUGCGUUUGUCCCGCAGCUCGCCACGGCGGCGUGGAGCUCUCCGAGAAGGUGGCGGCUGAAGGCUGAGAUGCUUUGUGCACUGGAACACAGAGAGAUGUCUCCAUCGCUGAGGGACGUCAUGGAGAUGUGCUUUGUUCUUCAUCCCACUGCUCCUCACGCUAUUCCAUCUAUUCUUCUUUGGCCGUUAAAAUACUUUCAACAUCAAACGUUGGUGGCUAGAAAAUCAUUCGGGGCUCACGUUUCAUGGCCUUGACAUCAUGACGAGGAUUUCUUCUUUCUUUGAAUGGCCGCUGCUUAUGAUCAAUAUCACAUUGUGUCACAUCUCUGUCAAUAAAUCCGUUUGUUCUCCA